Molecule: long non-coding RNA, 355 nt
Filed under: Lathyrus oleraceus (garden pea)
Lineage: Eukaryota; Viridiplantae; Streptophyta; Magnoliopsida; Fabales; Fabaceae
Description: Pisum sativum (pea) long non-coding RNA (PSAT_LNC006475)
Source: RNAcentral
GACCCGCCCCUUUUUAUUUUUUCAGCUUUUUCCUUUUAUUUCUUAUUUUUCUUUUGUUUUAAGUGAAUGGAGAGUGAGUGGUGGGUGUGUGUGUGGACAGAGAGAGAGGGACGUGUUAUCUCUUUUUAUUUUACUUUUUUUGGUUUUUUCCUGCACUGCCACAUGUCGUUCCAUGAGAGAGCCAUUAGAGAGAGACGUUGGAGAUACUUCCCCUCCCCACUACAUACGUUGUCGGCCUGUGUAUGGAAGAAGAGAUAUUUUAAUUAUUCUGAUUUCUCUAUCUAAUUAAUUUAAUUAACGUUUAUUUUUUUUAUUGGAUAAUGGAAUGUACAUGGAUCACUAAUAUGGGCCUUUG